Molecule: small nucleolar RNA, 226 nt
Filed under: Plenodomus lingam JN3
Lineage: Eukaryota; Fungi; Ascomycota; Dothideomycetes; Pleosporales; Leptosphaeriaceae
Description: small nucleolar RNA snR191
Source: RNAcentral
UCCCCAUCUUCAAGUCAAGGACCUUUACCUUUUUCCAUGCAUUGGUUCUGUUACAAGAUGGGGAGAGCAAAAGCGUCUCGCUUGCCCAAAGCCGUCUUGGCCGCGGGUAGACUGGCCUCCGUUUUGGUUGCCGGUCAACAGAGUUCGCGCGUGAUUCGUUUGAGUUGAGGACUGUCUCUGCACCAGCAGCAUCGUGGCGGUUCUCUUAGUAAUAUUUCACACAUCU